GGAUGUGGGGGUGAUCUCGCUGUGACAUCUGUCACCCCAUUGAUCACCAGAGUGGAUUUGGUUAAUCUGGCUGGGUGGGUGGGUGUCCCCUUCCUCCCUCACCACUCCAUGCGUGUCCCUCCCAAAGCUGCAAGGUCUAAGAGGACUUCCUUCCCUGGAAUAGAGACAGGUAGCUUUAUUCCCCUUCUAGAAACUCCAAACAAGCUUUUAGCUUGAUGUGGGGCCCUGGCAGGUUGGCUUAGUGGCUGGAGGGGUUGUGAACUCUUGAAUGGAAAUGUAUCUGCACGCCGUGUUUCAGAAAGUAUAGUGAUCC
Unclassified non-coding RNA from Erinaceus europaeus (western European hedgehog), 313 nucleotides. Its record names the gene 7SK. It matches the Rfam family "7SK RNA". Rfam says of the family: 7SK was discovered as an abundant small nuclear RNA in the mid-70s but a possible function has only recently been suggested. NCBI's taxonomy places the organism in Eukaryota, Metazoa, Chordata, Mammalia, Eulipotyphla, Erinaceidae. The record is from Ensembl.